Pelobates cultripes (western spadefoot toad) is the source of this 357-nucleotide non-coding RNA. Lineage: Eukaryota; Metazoa; Chordata; Amphibia; Anura; Pelobatidae. The record is from the annotation of a GenBank genome assembly.
CUUUCUUGCCAGUAAUGUCCCUUUUUCCUAGGCUAGUCCUUCUUUACAGACGCAACGAAAGUAAGCCAUGUAUCACAAUUCCCCCCAAAAAGGUGUUCACUACAUUAACUUUCUUUAAAAAACAAACUAUAAGCCAUAUCUUAACCUUUAAAAUAUCAGUGAUAUCCGCAUCAUAUGAAAGGUACAAUUAUAUAAUAGUGCCAACACGCUCUUAAUAAAAUGGACAAUAAAAGACAACCAACUUAAGACUCCAGUAAACAGCCAUCCUGCUUUUUUAGUAGAUCCUACAAGAGGUAGCGUGUGCUAACACUGCAACAUAUCCCAUUAUUAUCGAGCGGUUUUAACAUUAUUUUACAG